GACGACGCUGGCGGCGUGCCUAACACAUGCAAGUCGAGCGAAGAAUACAUAAAGAAAUCUUCGGAUGGAAUUAUAUAUUUCUUAGCGGCGGACGGGUGAGUAACGCGUGAGGAACCUGCCUUGUACUAGGGGAUAGCCUCGGGAAACCGGGAUUAAUACCCUAUGACACUUGAAAGUCGCAUGACUUUCAAGUCAAAGCGAUUUAGCGGUACAAGAUGGCCUCGCGUCCCAUUAGCUAGUUGGCGAGGUAAUAGCUCACCAAGGCGACGAUGGGUAGCCGGCCUGAGAGGGUGAACGGCCACACUGGAACUGAGACACGGUCCAGACUCCUACGGGAGGCAGCAGUGGGGAAUAUUGCACAAUGGAGGAAACUCUGAUGCAGCGACGCCGCGUGAGCGAUGAAGGUUUUCGAAUCGUAAAGCUCUGUCCUAAGGGACGAUAAUGACGGUACCUUAGGAGGAAGCCCCGGCUAACUACGUG
RNAcentral lists this ribosomal RNA (480 nucleotides) under uncultured bacterium. Its description in RNAcentral is "bacterial SSU rRNA". It matches the Rfam family "Bacterial small subunit ribosomal RNA", at positions 32 to 507 of the family's 1533-position model. The record is from RNAcentral.